Molecule: ribosomal RNA, 274 nt
Filed under: uncultured bacterium
Lineage: Bacteria
Description: partial 16S ribosomal RNA
Rfam family: Bacterial small subunit ribosomal RNA
Source: RNAcentral
AUACGGAGGGAGCGAGCGUUAAUCGGAAUUACUGGGCGUAAAGCGCGCGUAGGCGGCUUUGUAAGUCGGAUGUGAAAGCCCUGGGCUCAACCUGGGAAUUGCAUUCGAUACUGCAGAGCUAGAGUAUGGUAGAGGGAAGUGGAAUUUCCGGUGUAGCGGUGAAAUGCGUAGAUAUCGGAAGGAACACCAGUGGCGAAGGCGACUUCCUGGGCUAAUACUGACACUGAGGUGCGAAAGCGUGGGGAGCAAACAGGAUUAGAAACCCCGGUAGUCC